GAAGCAACCGUUGAUUGAACAACUCCGCCAGCCUAGCUAAGUGAGCAAGAUGAAGAUGAAUUGGCAAGUAAUGCAUACCAGUUCUACUCCGUAGUACUCAUAACAUUCCUGAGGUAGAGGAAUUCUAGGGAACCCACAUUCAUCACCUUUUUUGAGGGGAUUUCUAGCCCAAUAUCAUAGUUGAUUGAACCACCUCGCCGACAUCGCCUAUUGCCAUCUCAAGGCUGGACGGGCACCCCUCCGCGGCGAGGGUAGGGAUUGAAGGGGGCAGAAACACUUAGCCGCGAAUUCUGUUUUUGGCGAGCAUCUAAAUAACUGGAGUUCAAACGUCAUUUAACCUUGCCAGGAACAAUUUCUUUCUGCAGGUUUGUUUUGGUAAUAAUAUCCAGUUGAAUUUCUAUCGUUCUGAGAACUCUGGGUCGAAAUACGAUGGCAUUUUGGAAUAUUCUGAGUGAAUGACGUCGUGGGAAAUCACUUUUAUUGACAUUUGAGCCUCUUGUAUGAUUCAGCCAUGGUCGUCGGCAUCCCGUCUGCUCGUUGAUAGAGCCUCUUUAGAAACAGAAGUGUGCUAGAGAGUUUCCAUGCAUGAAUCUCGCAAGCUUAUCGCCGACAGGCGGAUGACUUUGCAAGAUAUUGCUUGGUCAAGCAGUCUACCAUGGUGGGACUGGCCACCAGCUUAAGACUGGGAUUUGGUCAAUAUUGUGGCAGGCUCUUGAAGCUUGAGAUACGAAGAUGCGGACCCAUCAGGAUAAGAAUGGAUCUAAAAAGGCAUCGAACGCUUUCUAAUUCAGCCUGUGAUGUGGGGAAGAAAGACAUUUGCUAUCGUUAGUCUGGACAUGAUCGAACCGGUUUUCCAAAGUUGGAGCUACGAAUAGUAUGGCAUGUGGCCACAUACUAGUGCUAGAUAGGCGGGCCAAGGCAACAGGCAUGGCCAGACUCUUGUCAGGAUUCUCAGCAAGGCUGGAGUGAUAGGCGGAUUCAAUAGAGCAGUUAAGCGCCUCCGCUGGGUUCGUCUAUAAGCGAGCACGAGUUGAGUUCGAGACUACAACUUGUUUGAACAGCCAAAAAGGCCACCGCAAUGAGCACAUUUUUUCAAAGGAAGGCCUAUUUCAAUAUUUCUUG
RNAcentral lists this small RNA (1122 nucleotides) under Histoplasma ohiense. RNAcentral describes it as "hypothetical lncRNA". Lineage: Eukaryota; Fungi; Ascomycota; Eurotiomycetes; Onygenales; Ajellomycetaceae. The record is from RNAcentral.